Molecule: ribosomal RNA, 1168 nt
Filed under: Pseudarthrobacter sp.
Lineage: Bacteria; Bacillati; Actinomycetota; Actinomycetes; Micrococcales; Micrococcaceae
Description: bacterial SSU rRNA
Rfam family: Bacterial small subunit ribosomal RNA
Source: RNAcentral
GCCGCUCGCUGGUGGAUAGUGGCGAACGGGUGAGUAACACGGGAGUCACCUGCGCUUAACUCUGGGAGAAGCCUGGGAGACUGGGUCUAAUACCGGAUAAGACUCCUCAUCGCAUGGUGGGGGGUGGAAAGCUUUAUUGUGGUUUUGGAUGGACUCGCGGCCUAUCAGCUUGUUGGUGAGGUAAUGGCUCACCAAGGCGACGACGGGUAGCCGGCCUGAGAGGGUGACCGGCCACACUGGGACUGAGACACGGCCCAGACUCCUACGGGAGGCAGCAGUGGGGAAUAUUGCACAAUGGGCGAAAGCCUGAUGCAGCGACGCCGCGUGAGGGAUGACGGCCUUCGGGUUGUAAACCUCUUUCAGUAGGGAAGAAGCGAAAGUGACGGUACCUGCAGAAGAAGCGCCGGCUAACUACGUGCCAGCAGCCGCGGUAAUACGUAGGGCGCAAGCGUUAUCCGGAAUUAUUGGGCGUAAAGAGCUCGUAGGCGGUUUGUCGCGUCUGCCGUGAAAGUCCGGGGCUCAACUCCGGAUCUGCGGUGGGUACGGGCAGACUAGAGUGAUGUAGGGGAGACUGGAAUUCCUGGUGUAGCGGUGAAAUGCGCAGAUAUCAGGAGGAACACCGAUGGCGAAGGCAGGUCUCUGGGCAUUAACUGACGCUGAGGAGCGAAAGCAUGGGGAGCGAACAGGAUUAGAUACCCUGGUAGUCCAUGCCGUAAACGUUGGGCACUAGGUGUGGGGGACAUUCCACGUUUUCCGUACCGUAGCUAACGCAUUAAGUGCCCCGCCCGGGGGAGUACGGCCGCAAGGCUAAAACUCAAAGGAAUUGACGGGGGCCCGCACAAGCGGCGGAGCAUGCGGAUUAAUUCGAUGCAACGCGAAGAACCUUACCAAGGCUUGACAUGAACCGGUAAUACCUGGAAACAGUGCCCGCUUGCGGUCGGUUUACAGGUGGUGCAAGGGUUGUCGUCAGCUCUGUCCUGAGAAUGUUGGGUUAAGUCCCGCACGAGCGCACCCUCGUUCUAUGUUGCCACGCGUCAUGGCGGGACUCAAAGAGACUGCCGGUCACUCCGAAGAAAGGUGGGGACAACUCAAUCUCAGCCCCUUAGUCUUGGGCUUCCGCAGCUACAUGCCGGUCAAAGGUUCCAAACUGUUAGGUGACUAUCCCAAA